Portunus trituberculatus (swimming crab) is the source of this 1298-nucleotide long non-coding RNA. RefSeq lists it as uncharacterized. The record is from RefSeq and is a predicted model, not a curated record. NCBI's taxonomy places the organism in Eukaryota, Metazoa, Arthropoda, Malacostraca, Decapoda, Portunidae. The transcript is spliced from 2 exons.
UACAUUAGUGUUAUUGUAAGAUUGUGAUAGUAAGAAUAUGGCAAAAAACCGACUCGCAUAUGGAUUUUCACCAGAGGAAAGUGUAGGGAGGAAACGCCUAGUGCCGAACAGGUGGUUUGAGGUGAAUUUGAUCCUCGGGUAAAUAGAGGUGGUUGGGAGUCCGUGCACCAGGUUGGGUAACACCAGGUAGGGUUUUGGGUUAGUGGGAUAUCCAUGAGUGUCACGAUCUGGUGCAGUAAGUGCAGGAACAAUAAAGUAUUAAGUUUCGGCGUGUUGUGGUGCAAAUGUUUAGUCCUUUUAGUAAUAUACGCAGUUGCAUUUAAUUUAGUCUCGGGUCAUUCGAUUAUUAUACUGUUCCAUUUAUCCGUGUGUCAGAAAGCUUUAGAUUUGUCAUGAAGAAUGACCUUAACACAGCAGGUGAAGGAUAUUUCUUUAAGGCUGAUUUAUAACUGAUAACUUUGUUGCAGCAGUGUAUACAACAACGAAGUCAUACCGGCCGCCCCCUAAACAUGGGACAAACAAGUCUCGGGGCUUCGUGCAAGAGAUGGAACACGUCUCGGCGCAUGUCUGGCACCGACGUCCCUACAUCUGCGCACUUCCAACUUGGUAGAAUCACAUCGGUUCCACCCGAGGAACUCCUUAGCCACACCGGUUGUCUAGAGAUCUGUACGCGCCCAAGCGUCUGAGAAGCCUCGGUAUCCUCAUCCGUGUCCAUGUGAUAGCAGUCCAUCUCCAGGUCGUCCGUCCUCUUCAGAAGAGGACGCACGCCGCGGAGGCGUGUGGUCCGGCACAGGCCGUUUUAACUCCUUCAUUGGAGGCGUCCUGCCACUACUUAAGGGAGAACCAAACCAUCGGCAUCGUGUCGUAACCUGCGGCAGGAAACUGGCUCCUCUAUCACUGGAGGACUCAGAUUCUCGCUGCAUCUUCCACGGAGGAACUGGACCCUGCCUGGCACCAGCUCUAACCUGACAACGUGGUGCUGGAGGGAAGAACGACUACCUCGCAUUAUCCAAACCAGCGUGUCGUAACAACCUGCGGCAGGAAACUGGCUCCUCUAUCACUGGAGGACUCAGGUUCUCGCUGCAUCUUCCACGGAGGAACUGGACCCUGCCUGGCACCAGCUCUAACCUAACAACGUGGUGCUGGAGGGAACAACUACCUCGCUUUAUCUAACCUAACCAAUACAUGUUGCCAUCACUCUUGUAAUAGUAUCACUUCUAUCUGAUGUGUAUGUAUCCACCACAAGUGUAAUACUAUUCCUUACUUUAUCUAAUCAAACCAAUACAUGUUGCUAAUCA